UAGCUAGUUGGUAGGGUAAGAGCCUACCAAGGCGACGAUCGGCAGCUGGUCUGAGAGGAUGGCCAGCCACACUGGAACUGAGACACGGUCCAGACUCCUACGGGAGGCAGCAGUGGGGAAUAUUGGACAAUGGGGGCAACCCUGAUCUAGCAAUGCCGCGUGUGUGAAGAAGGCCUGAGGGUUGUAAAGCACUUUCAGUGGGGAGGAGGGUAUUUAGGUUAAGAGCUAGGAUACUGGACGUUACCCACAGAAGAAGCACCGGCUAACUCCGUGCCAGCAGCCGCGGUAAUACGGAGGGUGCGAGCGUUAAUCGGAAUAACUGGGCGUAAGGGGCGCGUAGGUGGUUAGAUAAGUUAUCUGUGAAAUCCCCGGGCUCAACCUGGGCAGGUCAGAUAAGACUGUUUGACUCGAGUAUAGGAGAGGGUAGUGGAGUUUCCGGCGUAGCGGUGAAAUGCGUAGAGAUCGGAAGGAACACCAGUGGCGAAGGCGGCUACCUGGCCUAAUACUGACACUGAGGCACGAAAGCGUGGGGAGCAAACAGGAUUAGAUACCCUGGUAGUCCACGCUGUAAACGAUGUCAACUAGCUGUUGGUUAUAUGAAAAUAAUUAGUGGCGC
This 616-nucleotide ribosomal RNA is filed under the name uncultured Legionella sp. Its description in RNAcentral is "bacterial SSU rRNA". It matches the Rfam family "Bacterial small subunit ribosomal RNA", at positions 242 to 849 of the family's 1533-position model. The record is from RNAcentral. Lineage: Bacteria; Pseudomonadati; Pseudomonadota; Gammaproteobacteria; Legionellales; Legionellaceae.